GUAUUUUAGUAUUGCUCUGAUUUACUUUUUAUUAUUCCUUACGCCAUUUUUGUUAUGUAAUCCAUUUCCUGGUCGCCUAUUCUUUGUCUUGGGUCGGGUGUCUAUUGAAAACAACCUCUCUACUUCUUCGGAGGUAGCGGUAUAAACUGCGUACAUCUUAUCCUCUCCAGACCUCACUUUGUAGGAACACACUGGGUUUGUUGUUUUUGUUGUUGUAUUGUAGAUAGAGAUUGUGCUCCAUAAAAUAAAGUAAGUAUCAAUUUACAAUUAUUGCAUGUUAUCUCUUCCAUAUAUUCU
RNAcentral lists this long non-coding RNA (297 nucleotides) under Capsicum annuum. RNAcentral describes it as "long non-coding RNA (CANN_LNC005030)". The record is from RNAcentral. Lineage: Eukaryota; Viridiplantae; Streptophyta; Magnoliopsida; Solanales; Solanaceae.